CUUCACGAGAUGCGCGCCAGAUAUGGGCUCCGACCCGGCGACACACCAACCCCAUGCUUCACGGGUGGUUCGGAUGACGAAGCGGUCCUUGGCGGCAACCGCCCCGGGGACAAGAGCACACG
Molecule: non-coding RNA, 122 nt
Filed under: Arthrobacter sp.
Lineage: Bacteria; Bacillati; Actinomycetota; Actinomycetes; Micrococcales; Micrococcaceae
Description: SAM-IV sequence
Rfam family: SAM (S-adenosyl methionine) riboswitch aptamer
About the family: SAM-IV is a mRNA element that regulates gene expression via direct sensing of S-adenosylmethionine (SAM or AdoMet). SAM-IV riboswitches share conserved nucleotide positions with the previously described SAM-I riboswitches sequence analysis and molecular recognition experiments suggest that SAM-I and SAM-IV riboswitches share similar ligand binding sites, but have different scaffolds.
Source: RNAcentral